Molecule: ribosomal RNA, 468 nt
Filed under: uncultured bacterium
Lineage: Bacteria
Description: partial 16S ribosomal RNA
Rfam family: Bacterial small subunit ribosomal RNA
Source: RNAcentral
GACGAACGCUGGCGGCGUGCUUAACACAUGCGAGUCGAACGGUGAAGCUCCAGCUUGCUGGAGUGGAUCAGUGGCGAACGGGUGAGUAACACGUGAGCAGCCUGCCCCUGACUCUGGAAUAAGCGCUGGAAACGGCGUCUAAUACUGGAUACGAGAAGGGUCCGCAUGGGCACUUUCUGGAAAGUUUUUCGGUUGGGGAUGGGCUCGCGGCCUAUCAGCUUGUUGGUGAGGUAAUGGCUCACCAAGGCGACGACGGGUAGCCGGCCUGAGAGGGCGACCGGCCACACUGGGACUGAGACACGGCCCAGACUCCUACGGGAGGCAGCAGUGGGGAAUAUUGCACAAUGGGCGAAAGCCUGAUGCAGCGACGCCGCGUGAGGGAUGACGGCCUUCGGGUUGUAAACCUCUUUCAGCAGGGAAGAAGCGAAAGUGACGGUACCUGCAGAAGAAGCACCGGCUAACUACGUG